UGCUCAACUCUCCGGGGACACGGAGACCAGUGAAAGAAGCGCAAAAGUACGGUGAGGACUCUCAGAAAUCGCAUUCCCCCGGGACACCCGGCCCACGCUCGUCGGUCACUACGCUAUCAGCCUCCGCGCUCUCGGACUCCAGCAGCCCCGACACGCCGCCCAGGAGAGGGCCGGGCAGGCCGAGCACCCCGGCCCGCGCUCCCGCCACCAGCGCACCCAUGAUGUACUCACGGAGAGGGGUACGCAGAACCGCCCGUCCCGCCGGAGCCGACACCCGGAGCAGUGCAAAUCAACUCCCCCAGCCUAGCGGCGCGUGCGCGAAGGCGGACAGCGCGCCGCCUGCUGACGUCAGCGCCUGCCUACGCCGCCGUUCCCAUGGCGACCGAUGCGUCCCGCGCUCUAGGCGAAGACCGCGGCCCCGUCCCCGCGCCUCCACCGCCUUCUUCCAGGAGGAGGGGCCGUGCGGCGCCUGCCCGGGGGCCCUCAGGCCGCAGGCGGGCGCGAGCUUCAGGGAACUUAGGGGGCUCCCGCCUCCCCGGCCACGCGAGCGGGAACAGUCUCCUCCACUCGGAGCGGCGCCAUCUUCAGCUCUGAGUCACCAGGGCUGGAAAAAUACUAGAUGCGCUACUCGUGGACUCGUGAAUACACUCGUGAAUACAGGCCAUUUCCUGUACCUACAGCCACCCGCUGCACUCAUCAUGCCUUACCUGGAUGAUGCAGAAGUCCCUGGAAACAGAAGGUCUCACCCUUCUUUAUCUUUCUCAUGGCUUUCCAAGGCUCUUUAUCAUGUUACUUUCCUGCUCAGAAUUCUUUAAUGACUUGCCUCAAUGACCAGAUACAUGUGAUCUACAGUCAGCCUUCCAGCCUCAUCAUUCCUCUUCCAUUUCCUCCCCAGAAACACUGUACUUUAUGAAGCUCCUCCAAGACGGCUCUCUCAGCAGCUGGGACCCGGUCUUGGAAUCUUAGUGUCAACUAUGAUGAAUCACCAACACUAACAAAAACAUUAUCUUUUAUUGGGUUAAAUAGUUUCUACUCUUCCCAAGACUGGGAACUGAUGUAACAGGCUUCGUGCUUUCUUCCCAACAAAUUGAUUCUGUGUGGUCAGCUCCUGUCAUGAUGAUAGAACCCCCUGUAUUGAUUUAUACUUAGGGGUAUAUCAAUGUCAGUCUAAACUUGUCCUACCUAC
This 1186-nucleotide long non-coding RNA is filed under the name Homo sapiens (human). Its description in RNAcentral is "long non-coding RNA NONHSAT208072.1". The record is from RNAcentral. Lineage: Eukaryota; Metazoa; Chordata; Mammalia; Primates; Hominidae.